Molecule: ribosomal RNA, 465 nt
Filed under: uncultured bacterium
Lineage: Bacteria
Description: bacterial SSU rRNA
Rfam family: Bacterial small subunit ribosomal RNA
Source: RNAcentral
CCUACGGGUGGCACCAGUGGGGAAUAUUGCACAAUGGGCGCAAGCCUGAUGCAGCCAUGCCGCGUGUAUGAAGAAGGCCUUCGGGUUGUAAAGUACUUUCAGCGGGGAGGAAGGUGUUGAGGUUAAUAACCUCAGCAAUUGUCGUUACCCGCAGAAGAAGCACCGGCUAACUCCGUGCCAGCAGCCGCGGUAAUACGGAGGGUGCAAGCGUUAAUCGGAAUUACUGGGCGUAAAGCGCACGCAGGCGGUCUGUCAAGUCGGAUGUGAAAUCCCCGGGCUCAACCUGGGAACUGCAUUCGAAACUGGCAGGCUAGAGUCUUGCAGAGGGGGGUAGAAUUCCAGGUGUAGCGGUGAAAUGCGUAGAGGUCUGGAGGAAUACCGGUGGCGAAGGCGGUCCCCUGGACAAAGACUGACGCUCAGGUGCGAAAGCGUGGGGAGCAAACAGGAUUAGAUACCCGUGUAGUC